RNAcentral lists this ribosomal RNA (1050 nucleotides) under uncultured Methanosaeta sp. RNAcentral's name for it is "bacterial SSU rRNA". It matches the Rfam family "Archaeal small subunit ribosomal RNA", at positions 258 to 1310 of the family's 1478-position model. The record is from RNAcentral. Lineage: Archaea; Methanobacteriati; Methanobacteriota; Methanomicrobia; Methanotrichales; Methanotrichaceae.
CUACGACGGGUACGGGUUGUGAGAGCAAGAGCCCGGAGAUGGAUUNUGAGACANGANNCCNGGCCNUACGGGGUGCAGCAGGCGCGAAAACUUNNCAAUGCGGGAAACCGUGAUAAGGGGAUCUCGAGUGCCAGCAUAUAAUGUUGGCUGUCCAGAUGCNUAAAAAGCAUCUGUUAGCAAGGGCCGGGCAAGACCGGUGCCAGCCGCCGCGGUAACACCGGCGGCCCGAGUGGUAACCGCUAUUAUUGGGUCUAAAGGGUCUGUAGCCGGCCAGGUAAGUCCCUUGGGAAAUCUGGCAGCUCAACUGUCAGGCUGCUAGGGGAUACUGUUUGGCUUGGGACCGGGAGAGGUGAGAGGUACCUUGGGGGUAGGGGUGAAAUCUUGUGAUCCUCGAGGGACCACCAGUGGCGAAGGCGUCUCACCAGAACGGGUCCGACGGUAAGGGACGAAAGCUAGGGGCACGAACCGGAUUAGAUACCCGGGUAGUCCUAGCCGUAAACGAUGCUCGCUAGGUGUCAGUCACGGUGCGACCGUGAUUGGUGCCGUAGGGAAGCCGUGAAGCGAGCCACCUGGGAAGUAUGGCCGCAAGGCUGAAACUUAAAGGAAUUGGCGGGGGAGCACUACAACGGGUGGAGCCUGCGGUUUAAUUGGAUUCAACGCCGGAAAUCUCACCGGGGGCGACAGCGAUAUGAAGGUCAGGCUGAAGACUUUACCGGAUUAGCUGAGAGGUGGUGCAUGGCCGUCGUCAGUUCGUACUGUGAAGCAUCCUGUUAAGUCAGGCAACGAGCGAGACCCACAUCCACAGUUGCCAGCAUAUUCUCCGGAAUGAUGGGUACACUGUGGAGACCGCCGCUGCUAAAGCGGAGGAAGGAGUGGGCAACGGUAGGUCAGUAUGCCCCGAAUCUCCCGGGCUACACGCGGGCUACAAUGGUUGGUACAAUGGGCAUCUACCCCGAAAGGGGAAGGAAAUCUCUUAAAACCAAUCGUAGUUCGGAUUGAGGGCUGCAACUCGCCCUCAUGAAGCUGGAAUCCGUAGUAAUCGCNUCAACA